RNAcentral lists this transfer RNA (80 nucleotides) under Lactifluus hygrophoroides. Its description in RNAcentral is "tRNA-Ser". Lineage: Eukaryota; Fungi; Basidiomycota; Agaricomycetes; Russulales; Russulaceae. The record is from RNAcentral.
GGAAUAGUUUACAUUGGAAAGUUAAAACGAUUGCUAAUUGUUCGGGUUACUCCUUAGGUGUUCGAAUCACCUCUAUUCCG